Molecule: ribosomal RNA, 723 nt
Filed under: uncultured soil bacterium
Lineage: Bacteria
Description: bacterial SSU rRNA
Rfam family: Bacterial small subunit ribosomal RNA
Source: RNAcentral
GCUGGCGGCGUGCUUAACACAUGCAAGUCGAACGUGAUUAGAGAGCUUGCUCUCUAUGAAAGUGGCGCACGGGUGAGUAACGCGUGGAUAACCUGCCCUGGUAUCUGGGAUAACACUUCGAAAGGGGUGCUAAUACCGGAUAAGCCCACGGGCUCUUCGGAGCUUGCGGGAAAAGGUGGCCUCUACUUAUAAGCUACUGUAUCAGGAUGGGUCCGCGUACCAUUAGCUAGUUGGUGGUGUAAUGGACCACCAAGGCGACGAUGGUUAGCUGGUCUGAGAGGAUGAUCAGCCACACUGGAACUGAGACACGGUCCAGACUCCUACGGGAGGCAGCAGUGGGGAAUUUUGCGCAAUGGGGGAAACCCUGACGCAGCAACGCCGCGUGAGUGAUGAAGGCCUUCGGGUCGUAAAGCUCUGUCAGUGGGGAAGAAAUGGAACGUGCUAAUACCACGUUUUCUUGACGGUACCCACAAAGGAAGCACCGGCUAACUCCGUGCCAGCAGCCGCGGUAAUACGGAGGGUGCAAGCGUUGUUCGGAUUUAUUGGGCGUAAAGCGCGUGUAGGCGGUUUCUUAAGUCUGAUGUGAAAGCCCCGGGCUCAACCCGGGAAGUGCAUUGGAUACUGGGGGACUUGAAUACGGGAGAGGGUAGUGGAAUUCCUAGUGUAGGAGUGAAAUCCGUAGAUAUUAGGAGGAACACCGGUGGCGAAGGCGGCUACCUGGAC